GGUAACCUACCACCCUUUGUUUAUUACACUUUGUUGCUUUGGCAAGCCUGCCCUCGGGCUGCUGGCUCCGGCCGGCGAGCGCUUGCCAGAGGACCUAAACUCUGUUUGUCUAUACUGUCUGAGUACUAUAUAAUAGUUAAAACUUUCAACAACGGAUCUCUUGGUUCUGGCAUCGAUGAAGAACGCAGCGAAAUGCGAUAAGUAAUGUGAAUUGCAGAAUUCAGUGAAUCAUCGAAUCUUUGAACGCACAUUGCGCCCCCUGGUAUUCCGGGGGGCAUGCCUGUCCGAGCGUCAUUACAACCCUCAAGCUCAGCUUGGUGUUGGGCCCCGCCGCCCCGGCGGGCCCUAAAGUCAGUGGCGGUGCCGUCCGGCUCCGAGCGUAGUAAUUCUUCUCGCUCUGGAGGUCCGGUCGUGUGCUCGCCAGCAACCCCCAAUUUUUUUCAGGUUGACCUCGGAUCAGGUAGGGAUACCCGCUGAACUUAAGCAUAUCAAUAAGGCGGAGGAA
Molecule: ribosomal RNA, 505 nt
Filed under: uncultured Onygenales
Lineage: Eukaryota; Fungi; Ascomycota; Eurotiomycetes; Onygenales
Description: eukaryotic LSU rRNA
Rfam family: 5.8S ribosomal RNA (bases 141-294)
Source: RNAcentral